CCCGGAAGUUCUUGAGUAGGA
RNAcentral lists this microRNA (21 nucleotides) under Mus musculus (house mouse). RNAcentral describes it as "mmu-miR-5625-5p". Lineage: Eukaryota; Metazoa; Chordata; Mammalia; Rodentia; Muridae. The record is from miRBase by way of RNAcentral.